RNAcentral lists this ribosomal RNA (450 nucleotides) under uncultured bacterium. RNAcentral's name for it is "partial 16S ribosomal RNA". It matches the Rfam family "Bacterial small subunit ribosomal RNA", at positions 354 to 796 of the family's 1533-position model. The record is from RNAcentral.
GUGGGGAAUUUUGGACAAUGGGCGCAAGCCUGAUCCAGCCAUGCCGCGUGAGUGAAGAAGGCCUUCGGGUUGUAAAGCUCUUUCGGCCGGGAAGAAAUCGGCGACUCUAACAUAGUCGCUGGAUGACGGUACCGGACUGAGAAGCACCGGCUAACUACGUGCCAGCAGCCGCGGUAAUACGUAGGGUGCGAGCGUUAAUCGGAAUUACUGGGCGUAAAGCGUGCGCAGGCGGUUUUGUAAGACAGAUGUGAAAUCCCCGGGCUUAACCUGGGAACUGCGUUUGUGACUGCAAGGCUAGAGUACGGCAGAGGGGGGUGGAAUUCCUGGUGUAGCAGUGAAAUGCGUAGAUAUCAGGAGGAACACCGAUGGCGAAGGCAGCCCCCUGGGCCUGUACUGACGCUCAUGCACGAAAGCGUGGGGAGCAAACAGGAUUAGAUACCCUGGUAGUCC